CAGCAGACAUAUUCCAGCCAAUCAGCAGCAGACCCUCCCUCCCAGAUCCUCCCACCUCCUGGACAGCAUCCAUUUUACAUUCAUUGUGAAGCUGCAUUCUUAGUGAGCUGUCCAGGAGGUGGGAGAGUCUGGGAGGGAGGGUCUGCUGCUGAUUGGCUGGAAUGUGUCUGCUG
RNAcentral lists this microRNA precursor (173 nucleotides) under Pelobates cultripes (western spadefoot toad). The record is from RNAcentral. Lineage: Eukaryota; Metazoa; Chordata; Amphibia; Anura; Pelobatidae.